RNAcentral lists this ribosomal RNA (490 nucleotides) under uncultured bacterium. RNAcentral's name for it is "partial 16S ribosomal RNA". It matches the Rfam family "Bacterial small subunit ribosomal RNA", at positions 30 to 507 of the family's 1533-position model. The record is from RNAcentral.
AUUGAACGCUGGCGGCAGGCCUAACACAUGCCAGUCGAACGGUAACAGGAAGAGGCUUGCUUCUUUGCUGACGAGUGGCGGACGGGUGAGUAAUGUCUGGGAAACUGCCUGAUGGAGGGGGAUAACUACUGGAAACGGUAGCUAAUACCGCAUAACGUCGCAAGACCAAAGAGGGGGACCUUCGGGCCUCUUGCCAUCGGAUGUGCCCAGAUUGGAUUAGCUAGUAGGUGGGGUAACGGCUCACCUAGGCGACGAUCCGUAGCUGGUCUGAGAGGGUGACCGGCCACACUGGAACUGAGACACGGUCCAGACUCCUACGGGAGGCAGCAGUGGGGAAUAUUGCACAAUGGGCGCAAGCCUGACGCAGCCAUGCCGCGUGUGUGAAGAAGGUCUUCGGGUUGUAAAGUACUUUCAGCAGGGAAGAAGGGAGUAGAGUUAAUACCUUUGCUCAUUGACGGUACCCGCAGAAGAAGCACCGGCUAACUCCGUG